Apodemus sylvaticus (European woodmouse) is the source of this 107-nucleotide small nuclear RNA. The record is from RefSeq and is a predicted model, not a curated record. Lineage: Eukaryota; Metazoa; Chordata; Mammalia; Rodentia; Muridae.
GUGCUCACUUUGGUAGCACAUACACUACAACUGGAAUGGUACAGGGAAGAUUAGCAUGGCCCCUGUGCAAAGAUGAUAUGCAAAUUUAUGAAGUGUUAGAAAAAUAA